AUGAACUACACUGUUGAUCACUCGGUUGUCAAUGAAAGUAUCGAAGAAAUUAAUCUAGCUGUAUGUGAGGUUGUCUCGUUUUUGUGCGAUUCCGUUCAGUUCAAAGAAGAAGAGAGUGAAGGACAGUCUAAUGUAAGCGACUUACUCUCAGAACAGGAUACUAUUUUUGAAGAUUUGCCGAAUGAAUUUUUUGAUGGAGUUUUCAAGGACAUAUCCAUGAAAAUGAUGUCGAUCGAAGAUCUAGUUGCAGCAGGCGACAAAGAUGACUCAAAUCCAUCUGAUUCGGAUGGCAACAACAUGAUGGAAAUAGGUGAAGAUGAUAGCCAGAAUUGUCCAGCUGAUUUACCCUUGAAACGUAAUUUUGAAUUCUCCUUAUCAAGUAGGUUUCCAAAAAUCGAUUCCAUCACGCAAACUGAAUCCGCAGAAAGUAUCUGCUCCUCGAAGAAUGUUUUUUGCAAAGGUCUGUCUUUAGAAAAAGGGGAGGAUGCUGUGCUCCAUGUGAAAAUUCAAGAAGAUUAUAAUGAAACUAAUGACAACUCGGCUUCUUAUUUAAAAGAAUCAAACUUGAAUUCGUUACGAUUACUACAAGUAGAUGGCUUGGUUGAUUGCUCUAGUUGCAGUGAUACGAGUUCAAAUAGUGAUGAGUCAGAAUCAUUUUGGCCCGAAGAAGAAAACUGUAUGAUCAAGAAAAAUUACAUUGAGGAAGAAAGGCUACAAAAUGAAUCACCUACUUAUGAAAUUCCUCAGUUAGAUGGAAGCAUUGAAAUAUCAGAUGAAACUGAAGAAAAUCCAGUGAAAUGUAGCCGCUGUCGUCGAACUUACAGGACAGAUGUCAGCUACCAACGACAUUUGUCCAGUUGUAAUGCAGAAUAUAUGUCCUCAUCAGGGGAAAGUGAUAAUGAAGAUGAAACCAAAUGUAACUCAAUUCACAAUCGAUCAACAGAAACGAGUAGUUCUGACAUUGGAGAUUCCCUACAUGUCUCCGAAAUAAAUCUUGUUGAUGAUGUAACUGUAACAAUGCAGAAUUCGAGUAGUAUCAACAUGUUAUCAGACAACAAAAAUCUUGGUAACAAUUUUGAAUUUACCAGCUCGGGCAAUAGCGCUAUCUCCAUUGAUCAAACUGAAAGUUUGCCAAGUAUUGAUUCAAAGAAAGUGAAUCCUACCAAUACAUUUUGUGCUUCCAUUACUGUAAGUAAAGCUGCUUUUCUAUCUGGUGUUACGUCCUCUGGAGGUCCACAGUAUGUUAAUUCCAUUAAUGGCAAAGGACGACCAUUGAAGACUUCUUUCAUGGUAGGAAAAUCAGAACCUCUCCCUCCACCUGCACAGUUUGGUAAUCCUAUCAUGUAUCAACAAACUCCGACAAUAAUGGACCAACCACAAUACACUGGAGCAUCAGUCACAACCCCCACUUUCAUACUGCAGCAAGUGCCACAACAAAUGGCGUCAGCCAGCAUCAAUAUUUCAUCAUUCGUGCAACCUGUAAAUUCAACUCCGAAUGUCCAGUACAUCGCUGCUGUCGAGUCUUCCAAUCAGCCCCAAUUCAUCGCAACUCCAGACCCCAUGAAUCCUGGAUCGUUCCGAAUACAGCAAUCAUCCCUAAUCUCACCGAUCGUUCCACAAGUUGUAGGUGCAAUAAUUCAACCUCCAGUGGAGCAGAUUGUGACCAUGAACCCUCAAGCAUCAAAUAUAGACUUUUUCGCAGCACCAAACCCAAGUAACAACAUUUUCUUGAGCAGUCAACCAGUAAUGAAUGCUGUCGUGAACAAUUCUAUUUUGUGCAACUCUGUGAUGAGCAACUCACUGUUGAACAACACUUUAGUCAACAGUCCGGUGAUGAGCAACGCUGUUCUGAACAAUUCUUUGAUUUCGAAUCCCCUCGUUAGCAAUGGUUAUCAUACGAUGACCUCUCAGUUGGUUCAAUCAUCAAAGCCAGCAAUUGAAGCAACCAGCUAUGUUAUCGUUACCACUAAUCCAAGCGUAAAAGACUGUUUUUCUGCACCUGUAUCAGUUCAGUCUGCUCAGUCGACAACAUGGGCUCCUUCCAGCAAUUGGUCUUUCAACAAGCAUACGUGCAAAACCACCAAAGAAGUCACAACUUUGUACCACGCAAAAGGCGAGUUAAUACCCAACCAGUGCAAACCCAGUCAAGUAAAUUGUGUUAAAGUAGUCAAGAAAGAAACGACAGAAGAGAUGAUGAUCGAGACAGCUUCUGUAAAUAAUCCAUUUUAUGAAAAAAUAUCGGCUGAGCUGCCUACUGAUGAAAAUGUACCGGCAGAUGAAGUGUCUCGCUUGACCAAUUUUGUGAAAGACAUUCCUGCAAUUUUUAAUGCCCAUUCUCUCAAAUCGCUGACCCCUUUGCCGAACUCUUCAAAUUCAUCUAUUCUACAUCAGCAAAAUGAAUCAUCAAAGGAUGUGGUGCAAGAACUUGGAACUAAAGUUCCUAGCAUAUCAAUAAGCAAAACAACUUGCGCUCCAAGCCCAUCUCAUCUGUGUGCACUGACUGCACCGCAGACUGAAUUCAGAAUUUCAACUUCUAUUAGUAAACCUCAGGUGACUGUAUGCAAGAGUGUCGAUGAAAAUGUUGAAACCCUCGAUCCCCCAAGCUCUCCUCCUUAUUCUGUUACGGAAGUUUUCUCUAACGAGAUUAAAAACUUCAGAACUUAUUCUGGAAAAAAUUUACCUCCAAAUUACCAAUCAACAAUGUUCUGCAACGAACAGACGAAAAACAGAGAACACACAAUAUCCUGCAAGCUGUCAGUAGCACAGUUACAUCAACAAGUAGCUCACCUCAAUAUGUUAAAAACGACAUCAGUUACUCCAACAGCAUCAUGCAAACUUCCCCUCUCAGUUCUGUCAAUAAUAUUAUCAACUCUGUUCUUAGUUCAAAAGCACCGUUGUCCUGCAAAAUUUCAUCCAAAGAGCAGGUUAAUUCACCUCCCAAAACUUUCCACAGCGAUUACCUAG
RNAcentral lists this long non-coding RNA (2964 nucleotides) under Bemisia tabaci. RNAcentral's name for it is "lncRNA ENSASIAIIG001636". Lineage: Eukaryota; Metazoa; Arthropoda; Insecta; Hemiptera; Aleyrodidae. The record is from RNAcentral.